GUUUACGGCCAUACCACCCUGAACACGCCCGAUCUCGUCUGAUCUCGGAAGCUAAGCAGGGUCGGGCCUGGUUAGUACUUGGAUGGGAGACCGCCUGGGAAUACCAGGUGCUGUAAACU
Molecule: ribosomal RNA, 119 nt
Organism: Betta splendens (Siamese fighting fish)
Lineage: Eukaryota; Metazoa; Chordata; Actinopteri; Anabantiformes; Osphronemidae
Source: Ensembl